UUGGAGGGCAAGUCUGGUGCCAGCAGCCGCGGUAAUUCCAGCUCCAAUAGCGUAUAUUAAAGUUGUUGUGGUUAAAAAGCUCGUAGUAGAAGCUCGGGCUCCGGCCGACCGGUCCGCCUCACCGCGUGCACUGGUUCGGCCGGGCCUUCACCUUCUGCGGAACCGCAUCUCCUUCACUGGGGGUGUCGGGGAAACAGGGCGUUUACUGUGAAAAAAUUAGAGUGCUCCAGGCAGGCCUAUGCUCGAAUAGAUUAGCAUGGAAUAAUGGAAUAGGACGUGUGGUCUUAUUUCGUUGGUUUCUAGGACCGCCGUAAUGAUUAAUAGGGACAGUCGGGGGCAUCAGUAUUCAAUCGUCGGAGGUGAAAUUCUUGGAUCGAUUGAAGACUAACUACUGCGAAAGCAUUUGCCAAGGAUGUUUUCAUUUAUCAGGAACGAAAGUUAGGGGAUCGAAGACGAUCAGAUACCGUCGUAGUCUUAACCAUAAACUAUGCCGACUAGGGAUCGGACGGUGUUAUUUCUUGACCCGUUCGGCGCCUUACGGGAAAC
RNAcentral lists this ribosomal RNA (546 nucleotides) under uncultured Ascomycota. Its description in RNAcentral is "SSU rRNA". It matches the Rfam family "Eukaryotic small subunit ribosomal RNA", at positions 548 to 1098 of the family's 1831-position model. The record is from RNAcentral. Lineage: Eukaryota; Fungi; Ascomycota.